This 856-nucleotide ribosomal RNA is filed under the name uncultured fungus. RNAcentral's name for it is "eukaryotic LSU rRNA". It matches the Rfam family "Eukaryotic large subunit ribosomal RNA", at positions 24 to 664 of the family's 3401-position model. Lineage: Eukaryota; Fungi. The record is from RNAcentral.
CCCGCUGAACUUAAGCAUAUCAGUAAGCGGAGGAAAAGAAACCAACAGGGAUUCCCAUAGUAACUGCGAGUGAAGUGGGAUCAGCCCAGCACCAAGGUUCUCGGCCGCGUGGUCGACGAACGAUGCGGUGUUUGGCACGUUCAUUGUGCGCUAGACGGAGUGACAAAGUUCCCUUGACUGGGCUCGUGCCCCGAAGCGGGUGUGAGGCCUUUAGUCGCUCGUGAGCUGGCGUACCUCGGGCGUGUCUCGAGCCGGGUUGUUUGGGAGUACAGCCCAAAGUAGGUGGUAAACUCCAUCUAAGGCUAAAUACGUGCACGAGUCCGAUAGCGAACAAGUACCGUGAGGGAAAGUUGAAAAGUACUUUGAAGAGAGAGUUCAAGAGCACGUGAAACUGCCUAGAGGCAAGCGGAUAGGGCCACAUGAGCCAGCUGGUCGGAUUCAGUUACGCCUGCUCGUGACGAGUCGGUACGCGGAUAUUGCCGGGUUUACCCUCGGUGUGCCGCGGUGCUGGCCAUUGCGGGUCGUUGUAGCGUACUUUCGGCUAGCGUAUGGUGGCCGCGAUCAAUUGGCUGAGGUGCCAAGUGCGUGAGGAGGUAGCCACGGGUGCUCCUUGUGGGCGCUGCUAACGUUGGUGAUACUUGCGCAUUGGACCAACCUCGGUCGAUUGUGGAGCGACUGCGGUGCACGCAUCACUCGAAGGUGCUUGCUGCUCUGUCGGGCUUGGCUUCGCGGCGCCGAACUGCAAUGCAGUGCGGUACUGCGCGGCUGGGCUGCAGGCGGGGUGUGUUAGCGAAAGCGAGGUGCGCCGCUGGUCAGCGGCUUGCUGGUCGCCUAUCCGUCCCGUCUUGAAACACGG